CAUUUCUAGAGAUAGAAAGUUACUUCGGUACAUCGGUGACAGGUGGUGCAUGGUUGUCGUCAGCUCGUGUCGUGAGAUGUUGGGUUAAGUCCCGCAACGAGCCGCAACCCCUAUUGUUAGUUGCCAUCAUUCAGUUGGGCACUCUAGCGAGACUGCCGGUAAUAAACCGGGAGGAAGGUGGGGAUGACGUCAAGUCCUCAUGGCCCUUAUAGGUAGGGCUACACACGUCAUACAAUGGAUGGUACAAAGGGUCGCCAACCCGCGAGGGGGAGCCAAUCCCAUAAACCAUUCGUAGUCCGGAUCGCAGUCUGCAACUCGACUGCGUGAAGUCGGAAUCGCUAGUAAUCGUGGAUCAGAAUGUCACGGUGAAUACGUUCCCGGGUCUU
This 386-nucleotide ribosomal RNA is filed under the name uncultured Fusobacteriota bacterium. RNAcentral describes it as "bacterial SSU rRNA". It matches the Rfam family "Bacterial small subunit ribosomal RNA", at positions 995 to 1382 of the family's 1533-position model. Lineage: Bacteria; Fusobacteriati; Fusobacteriota. The record is from RNAcentral.